Molecule: ribosomal RNA, 201 nt
Filed under: Triticum aestivum (bread wheat)
Lineage: Eukaryota; Viridiplantae; Streptophyta; Magnoliopsida; Poales; Poaceae
Description: partial small subunit ribosomal RNA
Source: RNAcentral
AUGCAGGCCAAGAAGCUGACGCUGCUGCAGACGGUGGCUGCCGCCGGAGUCUUCUCAGCCGUCUCCUUCUGGUACGGCUUCAUGUUUGGGAGGGAGUCUGCGCGGCGCGAGCUUGGUGGCAUCAUCGACGACCUUCGCAGCGGCUCCACAGCCACCUCUGCCGCGCCCUCCUCCGACUCACACGCUCACCCCAAACCAUAG